This is a long non-coding RNA of Patiria miniata (bat star), 288 nucleotides long. RefSeq lists it as uncharacterized. The record is from RefSeq and is a predicted model, not a curated record. Lineage: Eukaryota; Metazoa; Echinodermata; Asteroidea; Valvatida; Asterinidae. The transcript has 2 exons.
AAUUUAAAAAGAAUUGUAAAACUAUUUGUGACAGCUCAUUUACAUAUUUCUCCUGCGCAGCGCCCUCGCUUGACCCUUAAGGUAAAGCUCACACUUAUCCUUGAGUGAGUCAUUCCACCACUAGCACUGGUCCUCUUAACACCACACACAGUGUCCUGCUUCCUUCUACAUAUGUACUUUAGUUAAUGCCUCAAGAUUUUGUGGAUGACUCGACUGGGGGUUUUGUUUUGGUUUUGCUUCACUUAAAAGAUGCAGUUCACCAUUAAAUGAACCAGACACAGUAAUGUA